CCGACCUUUUCUCCCCCUAUCUCGCUAGCACCCGACGUCCGCCAGGUCGGACCCUAUCUCUCAGUCCUGGUUAGGAGAGGGGCUUUGGAUCGCGUGAGCCGGUUAGGAGAGGCAGGAAGCUCGGGAGAAGAAGAGAAAGGCGAGGCAGAGCAGAGGGGACGAGAGCGUGGCGGCGGAAGAGAGGGCCGCGAGUUCCACGUUGUUGUUCCCGUGCAAGAGGUAGGUCGGCCUUGGACCAUCCCACGUCCAGCGGCCGUAGUGCGCGGCGCAGGGUACUAAGACCUAGACCGCGUAUAGAAGCAGUCCUCUCAUCCUCGUCGUCACUCCCGUCGUCUCCUUGGGUAGGACUUGCUCGGGGCGAGGCCGCAAACGGGCGUUUCCUCUCCCGUUCCUACCGAGGGUCAAGCACCUCCUCUGCUUGCCCGUGUCCCGUCCGUACAGAAGUACCACGAACGCCUCCCCGUCCCGGCGACUCCUUUUCACCACCACCCCCUCCUCCUGCGGGAACAGGAGCCACAAGCCCGUCGGUACCGACUGCGGUCUCGGCAACCGACCGAAACUUUAACAGGCAACAGCCGCAGGAGCAGUAGGUUGGUGGUCUUUAAACCACCGUGACCUAGGACGCCCUCCUCCAGGGACUCCGUAAACUAAGAACACCCUAAGGGUGUGUAGAACAUCCUAGUCGUUGUUCACCGACCCGGAGAUGUAAUAAGUAUUUUUGAUAAAAUAGAAAGUAAAUAAACAGAUUAAAGCCACGGGCACAGGAGCGGAGACAAGCCGAGAACAACUUCAAGGUUGCUUAAAGACACGAUGGAUUCUUCAUGACUACGAGUAUAUAAUGUUAAACGAUAGGUGUCGAAAGUCAGUACCCUAGAACUCUUUUCGUCAAAUCCGUAAAACGAACACAGUUGAUAUGCCUUAGACGUUUCAGAAAAAACACACGUCUUUUAAAGAGUGAGACGUAAUGAACGUUUUCUACGACUAAAACUAGAAUUGUUAAUAUCAACAACAAGUUCGUCAUCUUCUAGACCGUUGGAGUGCCGGUAGAGUAAGCUUUAACUUCAGGAUAGGAGUUUCAAAUCGAUUCACAUAAUAAAUAAAAGACCAAAUUUAAUAAAAGGAGUACACUGUGUUUUCCGAACUUCGGAAGAAAAUUGAGCGUGAAGAUACGAUUGGCUUAAAUAAAGACCGACAGUCUUCUCAAGCCUCGCUUCGACCGGUCGUAGAAGCGUACACUGUGUUUUUAACAACAAGUUCGUGUGUCGACGACAUAAAACAUUUAGCACUGCACAAGUAUACUAAAAAAAUGACUUCCACGAACAGUUAAUAUCCACUUUUUGAACCGUACCUCCGCGUAUCCUAACGACGAAGACAAAAACCAAACCGGGAACGCUCCCUCUGGCUUCGUUUGAGGUCGUCCAAAGUCCCUAUUAUGUUGGUUAUGUUGAUGAUGGAAACCACACGAAAAACCUACCUGAUUAGACUUCUACGACUGAUCGAACGUGGUGGUAGUAUAUCAGUGGUUCGUUCCCGUUCCUAAUAUCCCUUUUAUUUCCGUUAAGUGGUAGGCCUCCUUUACGGUUGAUUAUGUAAAAACAUGAAGGAGAUAAUGAUAACAGACAAACUUGAGAACAUCAUCCCGAGCCUGAAAGUUUCAAUAAUCCGGACACCUGUACAAAAAUAAAAUCAAACAUGUCAAAACACAAGAAAACCGAAGUCCAACCACGACGUGUCUUUCACGUCAUGUGAGUCCACUACGUACUUUGUUUGACGUCUGGAUCGUAUCAAAAACAUAAACCUAAAACAUUGAUUCCACUACGAAAAUACAAUUUUACGAACAAACAAGAGAUUCAUUCGAUUGUUGCCCACGAUCGUUAUUAUGUUUG
RNAcentral lists this ribosomal RNA (1886 nucleotides) under Triticum aestivum (bread wheat). RNAcentral's name for it is "partial small subunit ribosomal RNA". Lineage: Eukaryota; Viridiplantae; Streptophyta; Magnoliopsida; Poales; Poaceae. The record is from RNAcentral.